This 460-nucleotide ribosomal RNA is filed under the name uncultured bacterium. Its description in RNAcentral is "partial 16S ribosomal RNA". It matches the Rfam family "Bacterial small subunit ribosomal RNA", at positions 338 to 795 of the family's 1533-position model. The record is from RNAcentral.
CCUACGGGAGGCAGCAGUGAGGAAUAUUGGUCAAUGGCCGUAAGGCUGAACCAGCCAAGUCGCGUGAAGGAAGAAGGAUCUAUGGUUUGUAAACUUCUUUUAUAGGGGAAUAAAGGUAUCCACGUGUGGAUAUUUGCAUGUACCCUAUGAAUAAGCAUCGGCUAACUCCGUGCCAGCAGCCGCGGUAAUACGGAGGAUGCGAGCGUUAUCCGGAUUUAUUGGGUUUAAAGGGUGCGUAGGUUGGUGUUUAAGUCAGCGGUGAAAGUUUGGGGCUCAACCAUAAAAUUGCCGUUGAAACUGGAAGACUUGAGUGUGUUUGAGGUAGGCGGAAUGCGUGGUGUAGCGGUGAAAUGCAUAGAUAUCACGCAGAACUCCGAUUGCGAAGGCAGCUUACUAAGCCAUAACUGACACUGAAGCACGAAAGCGUGGGUAUCAAACAGGAUUAGAUACCCCAGUAGUC